This 253-nucleotide unclassified non-coding RNA is filed under the name uncultured bacterium. Its description in RNAcentral is "contains 16S-23S intergenic spacer region". It matches the Rfam family "Bacterial small subunit ribosomal RNA", at positions 524 to 776 of the family's 1533-position model. The record is from RNAcentral.
UACGGAGGGGGCAAGCGUUACUCGGAUUUACUGGGUGUAAAGGGCACGUAGGCGGUCCGAUAAGCCCCGCUUUAAAGGCUUCGGCUCAACCGGAGCAUGUAGCGGGGGACUGUCAGACUUGAGGACUGGAGAGGCAGGCGGAAUUCCCGGUGUAAGGGUGAAAUCUGUAGAUAUCGGGAGGAACACCAGUGGCGAAGGCGGCCUGCUGGCCAGUAUCUGACGCUGAGGUGCGAAAGCUAGGGGAGCGAACAGG